Hevea brasiliensis (rubber tree) is the source of this 282-nucleotide long non-coding RNA. RefSeq lists it as uncharacterized. The transcript has 2 exons. The record is from RefSeq and is a predicted model, not a curated record. NCBI's taxonomy places the organism in Eukaryota, Viridiplantae, Streptophyta, Magnoliopsida, Malpighiales, Euphorbiaceae.
AGGUGAGCCGGGACAGCCUUCUUCCUCCGCCCAGCCGCCACAGUAAUUUGUCGUCAAGUUUGCCGCAGGAGGAUAUUUUAUUCUGGGUUAACCUGCUUUUAUACUUCGCAGGUUGUUUAUCGAUAUUUGUGUAAUUUUAUGUACUCCUAGAAUUUCCGCAUGUGUUAGCAGUAAUUAUUUGAAUUUGGUCUGUAAUAUUAUUAUCAUGUUGGACCUGUAAACUUAAUAUUCUAUGUCUGUUUGAUGGAUUGGAUGAGGGAGCUGAGCUCCCAUUUAUUAUUA